Molecule: ribosomal RNA, 2947 nt
Filed under: Legionella israelensis DSM 19235
Lineage: Bacteria; Pseudomonadati; Pseudomonadota; Gammaproteobacteria; Legionellales; Legionellaceae
Description: bacterial LSU rRNA
Rfam family: Bacterial large subunit ribosomal RNA (bases 1039-2947)
Source: RNAcentral
ACGAGUAAUGCGGUGGCAGGAGAAGCGGUUGAUCGAAGCCCCGGUAAACGGCGGCCGUAACUAUAACGGUCCUAAGGUAGCGAAAUUCCUUGUCGGGUAAGUUCCGACCUGCACGAAUGGCGUAACGAUGGCCACACUGUCUCCACCCGAGACUCAGUGAAAUUGAAAUCGCUGUGAAGAUGCAGUGUACCCGCGGCUAGACGGAAAGACCCCGUGAACCUUUACUACAGCUUUGCACUGGACUUUGAUGAUGACUGUGUAGGAUAGGUGGGAGGCUAUGAAGUGCGAACGCCAGUUUGCAUGGAGCCGACCUUGAAAUACCACCCUGUUGUUAUUGAGGUUCUAACUUAGGCCCGUAAUCCGGGUUGAGGACAGUGUAUGGUGGGUAGUUUGACUGGGGCGGUCUCCUCCCAAAGAGUAACGGAGGAGCACAAAGGUACCCUCGGUACGGUCGGACAUCGUACCAAGAGUGUAAAGGCAUAAGGGUGCUUGACUGCGAGACGGACGUGUCGAGCAGGAACGAAAGUUGGUCUUAGUGAUCCGGUGGUUCUGAAUGGAAGGGCCAUCGCUCAACGGAUAAAAGGUACUCCGGGGAUAACAGGCUGAUACCGCCCAAGAGUUCAUAUCGACGGCGGUGUUUGGCACCUCGAUGUCGGCUCAUCACAUCCUGGGGCUGAAGCAGGUCCCAAGGGUAUGGCUGUUCGCCAUUUAAAGUGGUACGCGAGCUGGGUUUAGAACGUCGUGAGACAGUUCGGUCCCUAUCUGCCGUGGGCGUAGGAAAAUUGAGAGGGGCUGCUCCUAGUACGAGAGGACCGGAGUGGACGAACCUCUGGUGCGCCGGUUGUCACGCCAGUGGCAUGGCCGGGUAGCUAAGUUCGGACGGGAUAACCGCUGAAAGCAUCUAAGCGGGAAGCCUUCCUCAAGAUGAGUUUUCCCUUGAAGCCCGUUGAAGACGACGACGUUGAUAGGCGAGGUGUGGAAGCGCAGUAAUGUGUGAAGCUAACUCGUACUAAUUGGCUGAUUGUCUUGACCAUAUAUGGUCAAGAAGAGAAGCGCAAACGGUGGAUGCCUUGGCAGUAAGAGGCGAAGAAGGACGUGGUAUUCUGCGAAAAGCCUGGGGGAGCUGAAAACGAGCGUUGAACCUGGGAUGUCCGAAUGGGGUAACCCGGCUAAUUUAUUAGUCAUUCAUACUUGAAUACAUAGGGUAUGGAAGCGAACUUGGGGAACUGAAACAUCUAAGUACCCAAAGGAAAAGAAAUCAAGAGAGAUUCUCUUAGUAGCGGCGAGCGAACGGGGAGGAGCCUGGCGUGAUUUAGCGUUGAUGUGAGUGGAAUUAUCUGGGAAGGUAAGCCGGAGAGGGUGAAGGCCCCGUACACGAAGCAUUGAUGUAGAACUAGGCACGCGGAGAAGUAGGCCGGAACACGCGAAAUUCUGGUUGAAGAUGGGUGGACCAUCAUCCAAGGCUAAAUACUCCUUACUGACCGAUAGUGAACGAGUACCGUGAGGGAAAGGUGAAAAGAACCCCGGAGAGGGGAGUGAAAUAGACCUGAAACCGUUUGCGUACAAGCAGUGGGAGCCUGACUUAGGUUAGGUGACUGCGUACCUUUUGUAUAAUGGGUCAGCGAGUUACUUUCAGUGGCGAGGUUAACCGGAUAGGGGAGCCGUAGAGAAAUCGAGUUUGAAUAGAGCGAUAGUCGCUGGGAGUAGACCCGAAACCGGGCGAUCUAGCCAUGUGCAGGAUGAAGGUUGGGUAACACCAACUGGAGGUCCGAACCGGGUAAUGUUGAAAAAUUAUCGGAUGACGUGUGGCUAGGAGUGAAAGGCUAAUCAAGCCCGGAGAUAGCUGGUUCUCCCCGAAAGCUAUUUAGGUAGCGCCUCGUGGGUUGAUUACUGGGGGUAGAGCACUGUUUCGGCUAGGGGGCUGUCAUGGCUUACCAAACCGAUGCAAACUCCGAAUACCGGAUAAUUGGACCACGGGAGACACACGGCGGGUGCUAACGUCCGUCGUGGAGAGGGAAACAACCCAGACCGCCAGCUAAGGUCCCGAAGUAUGAUUAAGUGGGAAACGAUGUGGGAAGGCAUAGACAGCCAGGAGGUUGGCUUAGAAGCAGCCAUCCUUUAAAGAAAGCGUAAUAGCUCACUGGUCGAGUCGGCCUGCGCGGAAGAUGUAACGGGGCUAAAAUCAUACACCGAAGCUGCGGAUGUGUAGUGAUACACGUGGUAGGGGAGCGUUCUGUAGGCCGAUGAAGGUUGACUGAGAAGUGAGCUGGAGGUAUCGGAAGUGCGAAUGCUGACAUGAGUAACGAUAAAGAGGGUGAAAAACCCUCUCGCCGGAAGUCUAAGGAUUCCUGCACGACGCUAAUCGGAGCAGGGUGAGUCGGCCCCUAAGGCGAGGCAGAGAUGCGUAGUCGAUGGGAACCAGGUUAAUAUUCCUGGACUUUCUGUAAGUGGUGAAGUGGGGACGAAGGAGGCUAGGUGAGCCGGGCGAUGGUUGUCCUGGUACUUGCAUGUAGGCGGAGAGACUUGGCAAAUCCGGUUUCUUGUUAACGCUGAGGUGCGAAGUGGUUCUGGCAUUUCGAUGCGCAGAGAAGUCACUGAUGCCAUGCUUCCAGGAAAAGCUGCUAGCCAUAACUUACGGAGAACCGUACCGCAAACCGACACAGGUAGACAGGUAGAGAAUACCAAGGCGCUUGAGAGAACUCGGGUGAAGGAACUAGGCAAAAUGGUACCGUAACUUCGGGAGAAGGUACGCCUUUGCUGGUGAAUUGCUUUACGUAAUGAGCUGGUGGAGGCCGCAGAGACCAGGUGGCUGCGACUGUUUAUUAAAAACACAGCACUCUGCAAAUUCGUAAGAAGACGUAUAGGGUGUGACGCCUGCCCGGUGCCGGAAGGUUAAUUGAUGCUGUUAUCCUGCCACCGGAUUGCUUGUAGAUGAAGGUGAACGACG